Molecule: ribosomal RNA, 429 nt
Filed under: Chloroflexota bacterium
Lineage: Bacteria; Bacillati; Chloroflexota
Description: Chloroflexi bacterium partial 16S ribosomal RNA
Rfam family: Bacterial small subunit ribosomal RNA
Source: RNAcentral
UGGGGAAUAUUGCACAAUGGGCGCAAGCCUGAUGCAGCCAUGCCGCGUGUAUGAAGAAGGCCUUCGGGUUGUAAAGUACUUUCAGCGGGGAGGAAGGUGUCAAGGUUAAUAACCUUGGCAAUUGACGUUACCGACAGAAGAAGCACCGGCUAACUCCGUGCCAGCAGCCGCGGUAAUACGGAGGGUGCAAGCGUUAAUCGGAAUCACUGGGCGUAAAGCGCACGCAGGCGGUCUGUCAAGUCGGAUGUGAAAUCCCCGGGGUCAACCUGGGAACUGCAUUCGAAACUGGCAGGCUAGUGUCUUGUAGAGGGGGGUAGAAUUCCAGGUGUAGCGGUGAAGUGCGUAGAGAUCUGGAGGAAUACCGGUGGCGAAGGCGGCCGCCUGGACAAAGACUGACGCUCAGGUGCGAAAGCGUGGGGAGCAAACAGG